UAGGGAAUCUUCGGCAAUGGACGAAAGUCUGACCGAGCAACGCCGCGUGAGUGAAGAAGGUUUUCGGAUCGUAAAACUCUGUUGUUAGAGAAGAACAAGGACGUUAGUAACUGAACGUCCCCUGACGGUAUCUAACCAGAAAGCCACGGCUAACUACGUGCCAGCAGCCGCGGUAAUACGUAGGUGGCAAGCGUUGUCCGGAUUUAUUGGGCGUAAAGCGAGCGCAGGCGGUUUCUUAAGUCUGAUGUGAAAGCCCCCGGCUCAACCGGGGAGGGUCAUUGGAAACUGGGAGACUUGAGUGCAGAAGAGGAGAGUGGAAUUCCAUGUGUAGCGGUGAAAUGCGUAGAUAUAUGGAGUAACACCAGUGGCGAAGGCGGCUCUCUGGUCUGUAACUGACGCUGAGGCUCGAAAGCGUGGGGAGCAAACAGG
RNAcentral lists this ribosomal RNA (429 nucleotides) under Gemmatimonadota bacterium. Its description in RNAcentral is "Gemmatimonadetes bacterium partial 16S ribosomal RNA". It matches the Rfam family "Bacterial small subunit ribosomal RNA", at positions 355 to 776 of the family's 1533-position model. The record is from RNAcentral. Lineage: Bacteria; Pseudomonadati; Gemmatimonadota.